Molecule: long non-coding RNA, 98 nt
Organism: Octopus sinensis (East Asian common octopus)
Lineage: Eukaryota; Metazoa; Mollusca; Cephalopoda; Octopoda; Octopodidae
Exons: 3
Source: RefSeq, a predicted model, not a curated record
CCGAAUGACCCAACAGCUGAAGAAAUCAGAAAGACCACGGUGGUAUUUAUCCAGCAUGACCGCAGGCGCAUGGCUGAAAUGAGUAAAAGAGUAAAAGA